CCCUAUGUCUCUUCCUAUUAUUCUUUGUGAAUUGCAUGUCGAAGUCCUGCCAUUUCAUUGCAGCCUUGUCAUUUACGUUUUAUAGAUGUUGCUUUGUUGGGCAUCAUCAUUGGUCUCAUACUCUUCUCCUCCUACUCUUGCUUCAGACAUUUUCACCUUUUGGCUUCCCCUCCCUUUCUCUACACUAUACCAACUUGUGCUCUAGUUGUCUUCAGCAUAGUGGUUGUUGUGCUCCUUGCUUAUGGUUAUUAAUGUGAUCCUCUCACUUUCACUUCCUAGUCCUCCUUUGCUUUUCUAAAUUUUGGUUGCUGCUUGUGGUUGUUCCCUUUGAAUCCACUACACUUACAAUCAUUGUCCCUUGAUUUGCUCUUUACAUUUUCCUAGAUUUGAGUUAAUAGACAACAUAGAUCUCUUGUUGCUAUCCUGCUCUUAUGUAAGUUAACAAUUAA
Molecule: long non-coding RNA, 449 nt
Filed under: Phoenix dactylifera (date palm)
Lineage: Eukaryota; Viridiplantae; Streptophyta; Magnoliopsida; Arecales; Arecaceae
Description: long non-coding RNA (PDAC_LNC003334)
Source: RNAcentral